This is a long non-coding RNA of Zingiber officinale, 197 nucleotides long. RefSeq lists it as uncharacterized. Lineage: Eukaryota; Viridiplantae; Streptophyta; Magnoliopsida; Zingiberales; Zingiberaceae. The transcript is spliced from 3 exons. The record is from RefSeq and is a predicted model, not a curated record.
UGUGGAGUGUCUGAUUUCCAGGUGCUAAUCCUCUCCGGCAGUAAAUUGCCUUGGCUGUGAUUGAAGGUUAUUGCUUGGAUUCCAGCAACUACCUCUGUUCCGGCAGCAACGUUACCGGUUGAGGCUUCAGAAUUAGGGUUUUGACACGAGACGAGCAUCUCGACGUCCGAGUUGGACCGGACUGAUCUUAUUUUCCU